RNAcentral lists this ribosomal RNA (252 nucleotides) under uncultured bacterium. RNAcentral's name for it is "partial 16S ribosomal RNA". It matches the Rfam family "Bacterial small subunit ribosomal RNA", at positions 524 to 776 of the family's 1533-position model. The record is from RNAcentral.
UACGGAGGGGGCAAGCGUUGUUCGGAAUUACUGGGCGUAAAGGCGCGCAGGCGGCUGCUCAAGUCAGGCGUGAAAGGCCUGGGCUCAACCCGGGAAUUGCGCUUGAGACUGGAUGGCUUGAGUUUGGGAGAGGGAUGCGGAAUUCCAGGUGUAGCGGUGAAAUGCGUAGAUAUCGGGAGGAACACCAGUGGCGAAGGCGACUUCCUGGCCUGUUCUUGACGCUGAGGCGCGAAAGCUAGGGUAGCAAACGGG